ACCGGCGCACGGGUGAGUAACACGUAUGCAACCUGCCCCUGUCAGGGGGACAACCCGCCGAAAGGCGGGCUAAACCCGCGUACAUGCCACCGGGGCAUCCCGGAGGCAGGAAAGGCUUCGGCCGGACAGGGAUGGGCAUGCGGCGCAUUAGGCAGUAGGCGGGGUAACGGCCCACCUAACCGACGAUGCGUAGGGGUUCUGAGAGGAAGGUCCCCCACACUGGUACUGAGACACGAACCAGACUCCUACGGGAGGCAGCAGUGAGGAAUAUUGGUCAAUGGUCGGGAGACUGAACCAGCCAAGCCGCGUGAGGGAGGAAGGUACAGAGUAUCGUAAACCUCUUUUGUCAGGGAACAAAGACUGGGACGCGUCCCCGGAUGAGUGUACCUGAAGAAAAAGCAUCGGCUAACUCCGUGCCAGCAGCCGCGGUAAUACGGAGGAUGCGAGCGUUAUCCGGAUUUAUUGGGUUUAAAGGGUGCGCAGGCGGUCUGUUAAGUCAGCGGUCAAAGCCCGGGGCUCAACCCCGGCCCGCCGUUGAAACUGGCAGUCUCGAGUUGGAGAGAAGUAUGCGGAAUGCGCGGUGUAGCGGUGAAAUGCAUAGAUAUCGCGCAGAACUCCGAUUGCGAAGGCAGCAUGCCGGCUCCACACUGACGCUGAGGCACGAAAGCGUGGGUAUCGAACAGGAUUAGAUACCCUGGUAGUCCACGCAGUAAACGAUGAAUGCUG
RNAcentral lists this ribosomal RNA (726 nucleotides) under uncultured bacterium. RNAcentral's name for it is "bacterial SSU rRNA". It matches the Rfam family "Bacterial small subunit ribosomal RNA", at positions 94 to 818 of the family's 1533-position model. The record is from RNAcentral.